Molecule: long non-coding RNA, 2119 nt
Organism: Sardina pilchardus (European sardine)
Lineage: Eukaryota; Metazoa; Chordata; Actinopteri; Clupeiformes; Clupeidae
Exons: 4
Source: RefSeq, a predicted model, not a curated record
AAACGACUAGAAUCACGCGAAUUUAGUGCAAUUUCUUAUUACAACAAUGUCUUGAGUGUAAAAGGCGUGGGCAUACAUGAUAAUUAGCCAAAUAAAUCAUUGUUCACGACACUUUAUGGUUAAAUGAUCGAAAUGAGUGCGAUGGCGAUAUAAUCCUACUUUUCCAUUAGUUGACAUGGUCUUUGACAUUAAAUUAAGAUGGUCAGUUUCAUGUAAUAAGCUGUAUUUGUGAUCUAGUCUGGGUAAUUCAUGUGACCAAAAAUGUUGUUAUAGGCUAACGUUUUUCUGGAAAAAAAGCAGGACAACAUCAUUCCCAUCUCCAAAAUAUAGCAUUUUUGCAGUAUAGGCUACAAUGCAGUUUUUAAUGUCCAAUGUGCUAUGUAUUUUCCUGCAUACGAACUACUCCUCCAAAACAGUGUUUACACUGGAAGUUGUGGAGUUGAGAAGCCUAUUCUAGUAUUUGAAUGACAGUUUUACUCUUUUCUCACCUAUACUAAAUGUCUAUGAAUUGCAGUGAUAAAAUUGACAGGUGCAAUGUUUUCUAGACAUAUCUUUGUCUUUUUUUGUUUUAAUUUCAUCAUGUUUUCACAGAUCCUUGCUCCUGAUAUCCUGAAGUAUGGCUUGCAUUUCAUUAUAUGACUCCAACAGUACACUCACAGAAAGGAGAGUGGUGUCAAACUACAAGACCGCCAGCAUGUAAACAAGGCCUUUGUUUGUCCUUGUUUGGCUACUCAUUUGUCUACUUCCUGAAGAGGCUGAAGCAUGCUGGCGUUGACACCUCAGUCCUUGCUUCCAUUAACAGUUGUGUUAUAGAGCAUAUCGUCAUAUCAUGGUCUACUGCAACGGCAAUUGGCAGGCAGUGUGCUGUGAGGACUGCUGCCCUGAUUCAUACGGAAGAAGUUCCAAGCCCGCAAUGGGCUCCAUCAACUGUCCAGGGUGAAGUCGGUCUGUACUGAUUGCACUACCUUCUACUUGAUGAUGUCUGGUAGCCGUGGCUACUGCCCUCAACCUGGUACACUUGACACUUGACAUUUACUGCCAAAAGGUACCAUCAGAGCACCUCUCCCUACCCUGCAGGACAUCUAUACCAGAAGAGUACAGAGGCCCAAAAUAUUUCAAAAGACAUUUCACACCCUGACCAUGGACUGUUUAAACCACUGAGGUCAAGCAGACGUCUCUGUUCCCACAUGGCUAGAACAGACUGAGAAGGAGUUUCUUUCCUGAAGCCAUCUGCAUCCCGAUCACACAUAACUCUUUAAACUACAUUAUAUAGACUUGCCAUACUGCACUUACACACACUGCUCUGUUUACCACCUGAAAAGAUUGUUGCUGCAAUGUCUCAGGUUUUGUUCAAAUCAUGUCUACUGUAUAUCAAGGAUGGUUCCCAAAACCAACGCCUGUUCGCCAGGCUCAUUUUCUGCAAGGCCCUUGAUUUGGGGAAAAGUGCGAAAACCAGUGACAUUAAGGGUAUGAACUUCUUUUUGUACACAUUUACAUACUAUGGGUUAUUAAUGUUGUGCCAAUAUUUUAGCUCUCCAUAUAUAAUGUUGACACAAAAAUAUGUUUACAAGGCCCAUAGUAUCACCAGUUUUGCACCUUGUUCCUUAUCUAGGGCCUCAUAUAAAAUGAAUGGGUAUGCACUACAAACAAUGGUCCAGUCAUACUGAGAACAUGUCUGUCUUUCAUCUUCCACCAAGUUUGGACAAGCUAGGAACAAUAUUUUUUUAAAUAUAUCAAUGCCUAAAGAUGGCCUCCAAGAUAAGGAAUUUCUGAGAGUGUAAAUGAUACAAAAUCAAGGGUUAAAAGGGGUAUGGAAUUAUAAAAUUGAGCAAAAAUAUUUUACAGGUUUUGGGACUUAAAGGUAGUCAAGAGCAAAAUCUGAGACGGUGCAGCAACUGUUUUCCUGGAUUUUAUCUGACUUGAAACAGAAUGACCACCCUUCCCUAUCGUUAAAUUACAUGUAUUUCUAAAUCCUUCUUUCUUUAUCCUGUACACCUCUGCACAGGCAAGUUGAGAAGCUGAAUGCCAGUUCUCUAUGUAUUUUACAAUGAUAUCUCUGUAUCUGACAAUUCCUUGAAUCCAAUUUUGUAUUGUGAUAUUUUGUGAUGUCUACAGAAAU